RNA transcript from Mirounga angustirostris (Northern elephant seal), 2361 nucleotides. It is a transcript of the gene named zinc finger FYVE domain-containing protein 1-like, with no coding region annotated. The transcript has a single exon. NCBI's taxonomy places the organism in Eukaryota, Metazoa, Chordata, Mammalia, Carnivora, Phocidae. The record is from RefSeq and is a predicted model, not a curated record.
AUGAGUGCCCAGAUUCCCCCAGCAGAGAAGGGCCUGAAUUCGGGGCUGAGGUGCCAGGAAAGUUAGGCCUGCGGCGGGGCUGACCAAGCUGCCUUUGGUGUGGUGAGUGCUGCAGUCUGCAGUGUUUCCUCUGUGAGAAGGAGCAUCAUUGGCGGGAGAAGCCCUGGGACAAUAGGACUCCAACCCGGCUGCACCCCUUAGCCGCCCCAGCAAGGGCCCCAGGGGGCAUUCACCAGGGCCAGGUGCGAGGCAGAGGGCACCCAGGUAUGAGGCAGAGGGUGCCAGAAGGGGCCAGACCUGUAAAAUCAACUUGUGCCCGGGGUGCCAGAGAGGACUCACCUGGGGGGUAGCAAAGGGAGACAGCCCCUUGCUGUGUACCACAUCACUAAGGUCCGGGGGUUGCUGAAGGAAGAAGAGCAGGAUGAGACCAGGAGGAAGAAGAUGACUGGGAAAGUUGUGAGUUUCCUCCAAGCGGAGAGAAAGGAAGACACAUUCCAGUCGCCAGUGAAGGGGACUAUUAGGAAAUUGGACUGCAAACCCAGUCAGCCCUGGAAGGUGGUUUCCAUUUUCGGAAAUACUGCUGAUGGAAAGUCUCACACCUCAACCACACUUUCUUUUAUGGCCGGGAAGCCUUCAAAACCUCCCCUGCCCGGGAGCCCUGCACCGUGAGAGUAUGGGCAGUGCACAACCUGGGCCACGGAGCAGGAGUAACAGAUGUGGAGGGGCUCCCGGGGGCUACGGUGAGUCCCAGCCAGACAGCACAGCUGCUGCUGAAGGGCCUGGCCACCUCAGACCUCGCCAUCCUUGGAACUCAUGCAGAUGGGCUGCAUCAUGACCCCUUCAAGUGCCCUGGGGACGCCUCUGAAGCGUAUGUGAAGCCCUCUCCCAAGGAGCUCACGGCUGCCCUGCCCGCUGUGGCCUGGAUGUCCCCUGGUCCACGCCGGGCACUGCUGUUGUCAUUUUCCAGGACACUGAGCACACUCAUCUGCUGGGCUCUGAGCAGCCCUCGAGGUGCCAGAAAAGCUCGUCCAGGACCUGUUCUGGAAGCGGGGUGGCUUCUCUGAAGCCUUCAGUUCCAUUCACUACAAGGGAACGAGGACUUACCACUUCCCACGGAAUCCCCCGGGCUUCGGCAGGCUUUGCGCCCUCGAUCAUUCUCCCCGGCACCCUGGACCCUCCUCCUGGGGCCUCGGCUGUGGGGCUGCGUGUAAGCGCUGCGUGAAUCUUAGGAAAGGAGUACUUCAUGAAGUCAAGGCCGCUGCAGGUACUCCCACCGGCAGGACUACUGAGUUUAUACCCACAAGGCCUGUUGGGAGAAAGGCAAGGAAGCCAGCCGAGUGCCCAGGACAUUGGCUUCCACCCACUCCCACUGGAUGGGUCUCAAAAAAAUGUGCCUGGGGUCUGGGUAUGUGAUUGAAUGUCCUAACUGUGAUGUGGCCUAUCAUAGCCAGCAAUCCUGGUUUGGGAACCAAGAUUCUGAGGAUAGCUGGGUGCAGACAGAGACUGCGCCCACGUGGCCUGCAGUGAUGGAUUUCUGAAGGUCAACAACAGCACUGCCUAGCGCCUCUUGCACAGGAUGAACUUCACGGCUCAGUUGGUGUCUGAGCUUAGCCAUGGGCCCACCGGCGCUGUGACUUUCUGGCUGAUGGACCAGCUCGCCUGUGCCUUCUGGAGCUGCACCAGGUAAGCUCCAUCCUUCAGAGAUAGUGACCUCCGGCACCACUGCCGGGCCCAUGGGGAGGGCUUCUGUGACGGCUGUUCAUUCAAGACCCAGUCGGUGCCUGAGCGGGUGUGUGACCACCUGCUCCGAAGCCAGUGAGAAGUUACUGAGGCACAGGUGGACAGUGAAGGCAGGACCCUUGGGAGAUGGGCGAGGAUGUGCAGAAUGCAGGGCAGGGGGGGGCGGUGCACGGUGACAGCCACUGAUGUACCAGUAGGUGUGGUGAAGGGUGCGGCCGGGCUGGCAUGGCUGGGUGCUGAUUAGGAGAUUCCUGCUGGAAGGAGUUCAGCAACAAGCUUUCCUGUGGACAGGGCUUCUGUGAUGAGCACUCUCACGACCUCCAGGCUGUCCCUUCUGGAGACUAAGACCAGACUGUCUGAGUCUGAUUCCACUGCAGAUAAAACCCAGUGACCUUAGGGUGCCUGGGUGGCUCAGUCAGUUAAGCGUCUGCCUUCAGCUCAGGUCAUGAUCCCAGGGUCCUGGCAUAGAGCCCCGAGUUGGGCUCCCUGCUCAGCGGGGAGUCUGCUUCUCUCUCUGCCUGCCGCUCCCCCUGCUUGUGCUCUCUCUCCCACUCUGUCUCUCUCAAAUAAAUAAACAAAAUCUUUAACAACAACAACAACAAAAAGCCCAGUGACCUUGAA